This 253-nucleotide ribosomal RNA is filed under the name uncultured bacterium. RNAcentral's name for it is "partial 16S ribosomal RNA". It matches the Rfam family "Bacterial small subunit ribosomal RNA", at positions 524 to 776 of the family's 1533-position model. The record is from RNAcentral.
UACAUGUGGGGCAAGCGUUGUUCGGAAUUACUGAGCAUAAAGGGAGCGUAGGCGGACUUAUAAGUCAGUGGUGAAAGCCGAUAGCUUAACUAUCGAAUUGCCAUUGAUACUGUAGGUCUAGAGUACAGAUGAUGUUGGCGGAAUAUGACAUGUAGCGGUGAAAUGCAUAGAUAUGUCAUAGAACACCGAUUGCGAAGGCAGCUGACAAAACUGUAACUGACGCUGAGGCUCGAAAGUGCGGGGAUCAAACAGG